This 231-nucleotide long non-coding RNA is filed under the name Manihot esculenta (cassava). RNAcentral describes it as "long non-coding RNA (MESC_LNC005996)". The record is from RNAcentral. Lineage: Eukaryota; Viridiplantae; Streptophyta; Magnoliopsida; Malpighiales; Euphorbiaceae.
AAGGUCUCGUCCAGAGACGAAACUCACACACUUUCGGCGGCCGAACUCCCUCUUUCGGCGGCCGAAAGUCCCUUUCUAAACCGAAAGCCUAGCUUUCGGGGGCAACCUUUGGCAGCCGAACUGCCUCCACAAAGGGUUCGGCGGCCGAACCUUCCUUCGGCGGCCGAACCUGGUUUUGCCCGAAGGACAGAACCCUGCUCUGUUUCAUGCAAACUUUGCCCAAAAACCUAC